UUUUAAAACACGAAAAACAACCGCUUCUUCCUCUUUUUCCAUCACUGUGCGUGAGAGAACUACGGAAGAACUGCCGCCUUCUUCCUCAACAAUCGACCACCACCCGCCACCUAGACCACCAGAUCCCACUACCAUUUGAACCCCCUCACCUUCGUCUUCAACCUCUAGUCAUCACCGGGCUACGGAGUUGUCGAAAACAGCCCCAAUCACCACCCAAAACCGCCCUACCAAUCACGAUUUUCGCCAUAUUUCCACCACCGUCAGCCACCGUUUCGAUUGCGGACCGCCACCACUUUCGUGCUCUCAACGAGGCGCAUUCAGUACCACCAUGGGUCACCUGUAAUUUUGUCCAGAAUCGAGAGAGCUUGUGAAAGCAGUUCGUGAGUGCUCUAAUUUGUGUUUUUUUUUAUUUUAAUUAUUAUUAUUAUUAUUGAGUGGUUCAUCGUCUGGUCUUGUCCUACAGACCCGUUUAGACCCAAAACUGUAAUCUGGGUUUUGAAUAAAAAUUCAUUUAGUGAAAGAUCUUUUGAUUAUCCGAUUUAAGGUGAGUUUAUCAGAAGCAUUUGAACUCUUAUUUCAUUUUUGUUUUAUUAUACAUUGUAAUUAUGUAAAUUACAGUCUAAAAGAGUAAAGAGUCAUCAGUAGAACUAGAUUUUUUAUCAAAAAAAUUACUAACUCUUUGCUGUAUCUUUUAGGGUAUUAGUUUGUCAUUGUACAUGUUUAGCAUUGAUUGCUAGAGUCAAUGAAUCAUUUGAGAAAACAUACUUUGUUUCCAAGGAAAAACAGAGAUGUUAUCUUUUUUGGGAAAAGUUUCAAUAUUUUGAUUUGACAAAAAUGGGUUCUAACAUGAAUAUUGGCAUACGGUUGGAUGGAAUUGAACAAUAUAAUUAUCAUUUUUUUACUAUAUAUAUGCCAUAAUUCUUGUAUUGAUAAUUUUUUAAAGGCAGAUUCUUUUUUCUCCCUUAUUUUUUUUAUUUUCAUUUUUAAAUUUUUGGCAUUUUUCUGUUAUUUUCUUGAAUUAAUAGUGAAUCCAUUUAAAUCUGGACAGAAUGAAGAAUGGAAGAUUACGGAAAUUUCUCUACAUUCUUGUUUGUAUGCUGAUUGUGAUAAGAACAGAAGGAUUUUUAGUUGAUAUUACUUAUGUUCAGAGUGCUGUGGCAAAAGGAGCAGGGAAAACAUUAAGGGUCAACAUUUAGAGCGAAAUUCUAAUUUUUUUUUUUACGUGCAUAUAUAUAUUUUUUUAAAAAAAAGAUUCAAUAUUUAUUUUUCUGCAUUGUGUUUGCAGUUUGUUUUGACGGUAGUCCACCGGCAUAUCGUUUUGAUAGGGGAUCUGGUGUAGGAAUUAACAAUUGGUUGGUUCAUAUCGAGGUUAGUCCUUUUUUCAUAAGCUAUUAAAAUAUGCAUAUAGUUUUUUUUUUUAUGGCAGCAGAAUGGAUCAUUAAAAGAUUAUACUUUAGAUCAUCCUAGGAAAUAAGAGUAGUUACUUGAUUUUUUUAGGAGAAUAUAAUUCAUACAAUAGGAAAAGAUGUAGUAACUGUGUUUGAAACAUAGUAAAAAUGAUGAUGUUGAGAUCAACAAACAUCACAAUGGAAUUGAUUAAAUUAUAUAGAAUAAAACUUAUCUUCUUCUUCUUGCAUUUUUGGCAAUCAAACUGAGUGUUUCACUUUUGAUUUUGUCAUCCAUGUACCAGAGAUAUAUUUGGCCAAAUACUUGAACCUGUUGAAAUUGAAUAUUUUAGUACAGAAAGUUAAACUUACUGUUUUUUAUUAUUUCAUAUCGCUUUGACCGCUUGAAUGGUUUUCAUCCGGAUUUUUCACAGGUCACGUCCAAGUUAUGCAUAAAAAUAAUGAAUUUUCAUCCUCUAUAAUAACUUAACAAAAUCUGUUAAUCUUGGUGUCCAGGAAGGAAGAUAGUGCAACAAUGUCACUACUUGCCUUGAACGUAAAGACAAUCACCUAGGUUCCUCCAAGCAAAUGGCUAAGCAGGUUGUAUUUUCUGGGAUUUUGAGCAACAAGCUAAAGUUCAACCCAGGUAUACUUCAAAUUUUUUUAUUGAUUUUGAUUGUGUUAAAACUUUUAUAUUUUUCAGUGUUAUCUUUAAUAAAUAUGGUCUCUAUUUGAAUUUCCAAAUUUCUAUAAUUGGAAUAGGAUAAAUGUUAGAUAUUGUGAUGGAGCAUCAUUUACUGGAUAUAGACGCAGUAGAUAUAAUGAAAUGGCAUCAUAUAAUAAAUAUGAUCCCUUAUAUUUUCUUUUUCACUUUCUAGAAGUCAUUAGAUAUAAUGAAAUGGCAGUUUUCAAACAUAUAGUGAAUUUCUUUGUUGUUCGAAUAUUUAUGGAAACUUCUAAUUUUUGGGUAAAUAUUCCAUCAGGCUUCUAAACUUUACUUCAGAGGAGCAAGAGUUUUUGUUGCUAUCAUCGAGGAUUUGUUAGAAAAAGGAAUGAAGAAUGUUGAAAAUGUAUGAUUUUCUCUUACGUUUUUUCAUCCAACUUAGACUGUAAUCUUACUUGCUAUCGUUAACUUGACUGUUCUUACGUAGGCCAUUCUAUCUGGAUGUUCAGCCGGUGGAUUAGCAUCGAUUUUGCAUUAUUAUCUAUAUUUUGUUAUAAAACGUUAAGAAGACUUCCUUCUUAUAUAAGUUUAUUGAAAAACUGCAGCAAGGCAUUCCCGGUGAACUAGUCAAGAAAUAGUUUGUGGGGCUAUGUGUUAUCUGUUACUUAAUCCGCCUUCACAAGCACCAGAGUGAUUUCAUUGCUACAAGCUGCAUAGCUCAAAAGCAAGCUUGCUAAUAAUCAGCUCAGAGCCUUGUAUUCUUUUAUUGUAUUUUCUUUGAAUCACUAGUCAUUUUUUUAUUUACUCUUUUACUGGAUGCCUGUAAAUUGAAAAUUACCUAGUUUGGAUUUGGAUGAACUAUAAAUUUUGUUAUAUUUUUAAAUAGGGUUUAGCCCACAAAAUAAUAUGUACCAUGUUGUAAUAAAUGUUUUUUUCCCACAAAAUUCAUUUGUAGGAAAAAUACAAUUUAGCCUACAAUAUAAUUUGUAGGGAAAAGCGUAAUUGUUUUGUGGGUAAAAUUAACUUUAACAGAUGAAUGAUUU
Molecule: long non-coding RNA, 3092 nt
Filed under: Olea europaea subsp. europaea
Lineage: Eukaryota; Viridiplantae; Streptophyta; Magnoliopsida; Lamiales; Oleaceae
Source: RNAcentral